Molecule: ribosomal RNA, 427 nt
Filed under: uncultured bacterium
Lineage: Bacteria
Description: partial 16S ribosomal RNA
Rfam family: Bacterial small subunit ribosomal RNA
Source: RNAcentral
UGGGGAAUAUUGCACAAUGGGCGCAAGCCUGAUGCAGCCAUGCCGCGUGUGUGAAGAAGGCCUUCGGGUUGUAAAGCACUUUCAGCGAGGAGGAAGGCAGUCGUGUUAAUAGCACGAUUGAUUGACGUUACUCGCAGAAGAAGCACCGGCUAACUCCGUGCCAGCAGCCGCGGUAAUACGGAGGGGGCAAGCGUUAAUCGGAAUUACUGGGCGUAAAGCGCACGCAGGCGGUUUGUUAAGUCAGAUGUGAAAUCCCCGCGCUUAACGUGGGAACUGCAUUUGAAACUGGCAAGCUAGAGUCUUGUAGAGGGGGGUAGAAUUCCAGGUGUAGCGGUGAAAUGCGUAGAGAUCUGGAGGAAUACCGGUGGCGAAGGCGGCCCCCUGGACAAAGACUGACGCUCAGGUGCGAAAGCGUGGGGAGCAAACA